Molecule: ribosomal RNA, 254 nt
Filed under: uncultured bacterium
Lineage: Bacteria
Description: partial 16S ribosomal RNA
Rfam family: Bacterial small subunit ribosomal RNA
Source: RNAcentral
UACGUAGGGGGCGAGCGUUGUCCGGAUUUAUUGGGCGUAAAGAGCUCGUAGGCGGUUGGGUAAGUCGGGUGUGAAAACUCAGGGCUCAACUCUGAGACGCCACUCGAUACUGCUCUGACUCGAGUCCGGUAGGGGAGCGUGGAAUUCCCGGUGUAGCGGUGAAAUGCGCAGAUAUCGGGAGGAACACCAGUGGCGAAGGCGGCGCUCUGGGCCGGAACUGACGCUGAGACACGAAAGCGUGGGUAGCAAACAGG